Nerophis lumbriciformis (worm pipefish) is the source of this 78-nucleotide non-coding RNA. The record is from RefSeq and is a predicted model, not a curated record. Lineage: Eukaryota; Metazoa; Chordata; Actinopteri; Syngnathiformes; Syngnathidae.
GCUUGAAUGAUGACUUUAAAUCUUUUGUCGGAUACCCCUUCACCUUUUUUAAUGGUUGAUAAUCCAGUUCUGACAAGC